Molecule: long non-coding RNA, 241 nt
Filed under: Carica papaya (papaya)
Lineage: Eukaryota; Viridiplantae; Streptophyta; Magnoliopsida; Brassicales; Caricaceae
Description: long non-coding RNA (CPAP_LNC012244)
Source: RNAcentral
GAUAAUUUAAUAUUGAUCAGUGUAUUGACGCGCAAGAGGGUUUUUAGUCAAAUAUCUUAUAAUACAAAAUUUAUUGUCUAAGCUAGUUUUGCAGUUUUGUUUUAAAUGAAAUUAUGCGUUUUAUAAAAAAAAAAUUAAAAAUUCAAAUCAUGUAUAUUAUAGUUUUAAAAAUUUUAUUAUUUAAUUAAUGGAUAUAAGAGCAUAUGAAGAAAAUAAAACGCGGAGUCUGAAAGUCGCCCCG